This 429-nucleotide ribosomal RNA is filed under the name Chloroflexota bacterium. Its description in RNAcentral is "Chloroflexi bacterium partial 16S ribosomal RNA". It matches the Rfam family "Bacterial small subunit ribosomal RNA", at positions 355 to 776 of the family's 1533-position model. The record is from RNAcentral. Lineage: Bacteria; Bacillati; Chloroflexota.
UGGGGAAUAUUGCACAAUGGGCGCAAGCCUGAUGCAGCCAUGCCGCGUGUAUGAAGAAGGCCUUCGGGUUGUAAAGUACUUUCAGCGGGGAGGAAGGGAGUAAAGUUAAUACCUUUGCUCAUUGACGUUACCCGCAGAAGAAGCACCGGCUAACUCCGUGCCAGCAGCCGCGGUAAUACGGAGGGUGCAAGCGUUAAUCGGAAUUACUGGGCGUAAAGCGCACGCAGGCGGUUUGUUAAGUCAGAUGUGAAAUCCUCGGGCUCAACCUGGGAACUUCAUCUGAUACUGGCCAGCUUGGGUCUCGUAGAGGGGGGUAGAAUUCCAGGUGUAGCGGUGAAAUGCGUAGAGAUCUGGAGGAAUACCGGUGGCGAAGGCGGCCCCCUGGACGAAGACUGACGCUCAGGUGCGAAAGCGUGGGGAGCAAACCGG